Molecule: long non-coding RNA, 6219 nt
Filed under: Octopus sinensis (East Asian common octopus)
Lineage: Eukaryota; Metazoa; Mollusca; Cephalopoda; Octopoda; Octopodidae
Description: uncharacterized LOC118767304
Source: RNAcentral
AUUACGUUAGAAAUUAAUUGAAACACAUAAGGGGUGUAUUUUGGUCAGAAAUAUAGUAACGAAAGGGUUAAGCAAAAGCUCUGAAGCUUUUAAAGCAAAAGAAAAUUUCUGUCUCUCCUCACCAUGACAAAGACCCUAUUCUGUCAUUACAAGCAAGCUUUUCUCCUUUAAGAUCCCCAGCAGUUAUCGAUCAGAUUGAACAGCAAACCAGGUUAAACUAAUACAAAUGUAAAUUUCCUUGUGCUGCUGUCUGAAAUUUAACAAAAUAUCUGCAGUGAUAAAUAUUAUAUCUCAUUCUUUUACACCAAAUCACUCUCCCCCACACACACAAAAUCCAUUCACUAAAAUACAAACCACUGCCCCUAAUAACUCCUAUACUUUCUAAUAAACUCAUUUUCUGAUUUCUUAUCAACAGAACCAUUUAUUAUUAUCAUUCAAAUUCUGCUGUGGUUGAUUUUUCCUUUCAUCCUUUUGGGAUUGGUUAAAUAAGUACCAGUUAUGCACUGGGUUUGAUGUAAUCAAUUUAAUCUAUUCUCCAAAUCUGAGGCAUUGUGCUUCCAGUAGGAAGGAUUAUUAUUAUUAUUAUUGCAUGCAUAGUGGGCUUGCUACCUGCAGCCUACAGGUCCAUGCUACCACGUCUGUUCAAUCAUCUAACACUUUCCUGAUGAUUAUUAUUAUUAUUAUUAUUAUUAUUCUAAUUCCUUAAAGCUGCAACAUAUUUUUGUAAUGUGGUUGCAGUUCCUAGUUUAGCCAUUCCUUUUUGUUUUGCAUCUUUUUCUUUCCUCUCUCUCUCUGGUUGAUUCCGGUGACACUUCACUUUUAUGGAAUGUACUUUAAAUCAAAGACUAAGUCUUUGACAAAAUUAUAGGGCUCAUUUUUUUUUCCUUGCUAAGGUUAACUUUGCCUUUAAUCCUUUGAUAAGAUAAACACCAGUCAAGUACUGGAUUUGCUUGAGCACUCCUUCCCUUCAAAACUGCUGGUCUUGGGCAUAAAUUAGAGACAAUUUUUAAGAUUGGUGAGAUGGCAGAAUUAUAAGUGUCAAAAAAAGACUGUCCUGCGAUAUUUUUACCAGCUCUUUCAUCCUUUCGGGGGUCAAAAGAAAAAAAUACUCAGGUCAGUUGUAUCAACUAAGUCCAUCCCCUCAAGUUUACUGACUCUUCUGUCUAACUUGUAACAACUUACCCCAAUUCAUAAAUACGGCAAAAUAUUCACAAAAAGAGUAAAAAUUUCUUAUUCAACUAUACCUAAUUUCAAGCUAGCUAUUGCUUCUUAUAACACUCAUGAGCUAAAUGAAACUAGUGAAAAACCCUUCCACUUACAACUGCCAUUGCAGUGGUAUAUAUAUAUAUAUAUAUAUAUAAACAAACGUGUGUGUGUCUGUGUGUAUUUAAUCUAGAAUUGAUUUCCAUUUCCCUUAAUAUUUAUACAUGUACAGUUAUUGUUAUGAUCAAUAUCAUAAAAUACCCAAAUACUGGAGGUUGAUUGGGUGGGGGGGAUUUUUUUUUUCUUUAAGCACAAAAAAAUAAUCCUAUGUGUUGUGGCAUUCAUGCCUUUUUGUAACAGGCAUUAACAGCAAUAGACUAACUUUGUGUCGGUUGAGAACCCAGUUCAUGUAGUAGGGGGCUCAACAUGGCACAAGUUUCCCCUGUUGCAUUAUGGGAGUUGCCACAACUACCUUAUUAAUUUAUUGAUCCUUUCACUCACAUAUUUUUAAAAAAUAAAACUUCACUUCACAUUUUUUUUUAAAACACUUAAUUGAAUUUCAAUCAAUCAUUAAAUGAUCAAUAUUCAAUAUUUGUCAUGCAGAUUGUGAUAAAGCCAGUUGCUUGACUUACCUUAAUCAUAUAUAAAUAUAAAUAUAUAUGUAAUCCCUCAAUGAAUCAUUAACCUUAUUAUAGACUCCAAGUUAAAUCAAUGCUAAUAUUUGUGUUUGGCACUCUUUGAUAAAGAAGCACUCAUUAGUUGCAGUAAUUCUUGCUAUUCAAUAGUAAACCUCUUUUUCAGAAGUUAAGUUUAAUAUACAUGUGUUUGUGGUUUCUAUCUACAUCAAGAUGGACUGAGCCAGUGAGAGCUAACGUAUAUUAGGAUGUAAACCAUCAAUCCUUUAUUUGAUUGAAUGGCAAUAUCUCGACUUAGAGAGUUGUAGUAGUAAUAAUAGUAGUAGUAGUAAUAAUAAUAAUAAUAAUAAUAAUACAAGAGAAUGCAUGUCUAUUCAUUAUGUUAGUUUCUGUUUUAAACAUUUUGGAUCUUUUAUGUGGUAUUAUAAUUGUAUUUAGCUUCAAUUUCUUCCCUAAUUCCUGGAACUUUUAGCUUUUCAAGACUGAAUUUAACUCCUGUAUAGCCCUCUCUUUUCAUUUUCUUCAGGUGCUGACGGAAAGUCACCCUGACCAGGUCAUGACCGAUUCCUAUGUCUGCACCAGAGAAGCUCUGUGUUCUGGCACUGUUUAUGUUGGAAUAAAAGUGCCUUUUCACCGUGGCAUAGUCUAUCUGGUUUUGAACUUUGCCAUAGCACUACGUCACAUCCAUUGCAGAGAUAGUUUGUGUGGUCCGAAGGUGUUUGUCAGUUUUAGAUCAUUAGCUGUGGCAAAUUCAAUCUCAAUCUCAAUCUUCUCUCAUUUGUCUCUUUGUUAGAAAAGCUGCUGCAUGUACCAUUCCCAGUUUGCACACACAUCUCACCCUACUUUGGCAUUCCAAAAUACCUUGUACAAUCAAUACAUCUUGCUUGGGUGUUUGAUCAACUAUUUCGUGAAGCUGGUCAUAAAACUCAUCAAUGUCCUCAUCGCUGUAAUCAGAUGUUGGAGCAUACACUUACACGAUAGUUAAAUUGAAGGGACUCACCCUCAGGACGAAUAGCGAUGAGUCUGCUGGACACUGGCCGGCAGCCUGUCACUGCACUCACACAGUCUUUAUUAAUUAGGAAACUUACUUCCUCCUCAUGAAUAUCUUCUCUGCCACUGAAAUAAAACUUGUGGCCCUUUUCUGUAUAGGUUUCCCCACUGUUCUUCCAUUUCAUCUCACACAGUCCAAGAAUGUUCCAGCUGUAAUUGUUCAUUUCAUGCCCCAGUUCCUCAACCUUACUUGGUGCUUGGAGUGUUCUUACAUUCCAUGUGCCAAUGGAGAUGUUCUUUGUGGCAUAAAUCUUGUUUUGUAUGUCAGUUGCAUACUUGACACUUCCAGCCUGGUGCGCAACAGAAGGUGUGGCCCUUAGAGAUCCAAGUGACAGCUGAUCAUGUACAGGUUCAACUCUGAUUGUCAUCAUUUAAUGUAGCUUGGGCAAUACAGCCCAACAAAGCCCAUCCCUCUCCAUGCCUGACCAAGGCCAACUUCCUCCAACCAGGCAGUGCACCCAGGUCAAGAACAAGUAGCCAUUAAGUUUUACUUGUAACUCUUCCGUCUUGGCCAGUAUUUUGCAACCAAGGUGGUCCUUCACCCAGUGGUGCCAUGUUCAUACCACCCCUUCACAUUGUUUAGCCGGCCUGCUGAGACCAUUGCCCAGGUUGUGACAUGAAGAACCAGACAUGAGAGAUUUAGAAGAUGGUCAAGAAUUAGUGUGCUCCCCGCACUCCUGCUCUAGUAGCAGGGUGCAACAGCCAGACUACAAAGGUACUAUCUCUGACCAGAACCCCCUAUACUCAUACAGAGACUGUGUCACAAAUGAAGAAGUGAGAGGAAGAAGGCAGGCAACGGGACCCUUUAAGGAACUUUUUAACACAGUAAAGAAAAACAAGCUCCAGUGGUUGGGCAUGUUACCUGCUCAUCAGGAAUGGCCAAAACAAUCCUUCAGGGAAUGGUCGAAGGUGGCAGGUGCAAAGGCAGACAGAGAAAGAGGAGGGUAAACAACAUCUGUGAGUGGGGAGGCCUAUCUGUGAGAGACAGAGUGGAAGGAUCAGGUCACAAGGUUACCAGUGGUGACCUCUAGUGGGCAACCAGACUACAGGAUAUGUAAUGUAAUAAUAGUAUUCAUUUGUUGAUGUGGAAUGAGAUUUUAGGCUUUUUAACUUCAGGUCUCCAGUGAAUCUCUUUUAGGUUUCUUGAUAUCUUUCAUUGUUGGCUGCCAUACACAGAUCUUGUACAUUACAACCAGUUGGUCUCUUUUCCAAUCUUUUUCUUUUCUUUUUCUUCCACCUUGUAUCAUUCAUCAUUCCAAACAUGGCCUUUUCAAGAAUUUUGAAGAUCUGUCCCAAAUGUUACACAACCUGUGUUAAAGAGGAAUGGCACCUACCAUUUACCAUUUAUGUCUGCAGUGUUUGUUGUUUUUGUUGUCCAGUGAAUCUUUCUGUAGCAGUAUGACAUCUCAAAAAGUAUUGAUCUCUUUCUCAUGGCUUAUCAUUCAUGUAAGCAGUUUAAUUGGAAAUCAAUAAGAUUUAAAUCUUAAUCUUUUUAAACUGUAGACUCUGUGUCACCAUUUAACAUCAUCAUUACAAACACAAUGUACUUACUACUGUCACACACACACACACACACUUGUAUUCAAAGCAGAUUUCAGCACAUUUGGAAAAUUCCAAAAUCCAUUUUGUUCAGAUUCCUGUUAAAAUUUUUUUUUUUACAGUUAGAAAAUAGAUAUUUCAUUUUUAAAUUAUAGCCUGUAAAUAUAUUUUUAAAACUUACUAAAAUAAAUAGAGAAAAGGACUUUUAAAAUAAAAGUAAAAUAAAGACUUGGUCAUUAAGGAUUAAAAUUCUAAAUAAAGAACACCAAUUUUGUUUUCCUAAACCUUUUGCUACCAUAUUUCUGUUGACAUCUACUGCCUCUGUUUCAAUUAAUUUUGAAAAUAAUAAAGAAUUUAGUUAAAUAAUAUUAUCGUUAAUUAAGCUGAUGUUUGGAACAUAAAUUAAGAUGAAAUUUUGAUUGUUUUAAUUUAGAUAAUUUUAAAGCAGGAAGUUCAUAUCAAAGAACUCAGAGAGUUUGGUAUCAAAAGGAUUAAAAUCUAUGGCUACAAUUAACAUUGUAGCAGCCUGUAUCUGAGACCAUUGUUUGUUUUAUUUGGUCUUAUGUUAGGGAAAUAUUAAUAUUCUAGUUUUGGUCCUGAGAAAUAUAAGAAUAUCAAAAAUUAUUUUGGUUGGUACCAAAAUUAUAUUGAUUGGUGCCAAAAUUAUAUUGAUUGGUGCCCCUGUUUUACAUUUCAGUUUACUUGUAUGUUUUUGUUGUUAAUUGUUUCUCAUGUAAUAUUUGUUGUUGAUGUCAGCUGAUAUGAGGAAAUUGAUUUCUUGUUGUGUGUGAAAAAAAAUAAAACAUGAAAAUAUUGAGUUUGUACAGGAGGUAUCAAUUAUAUUAAGUAUUCAUUUAUGUAAGGCACCAAAUAUAUAAACAUGGGGAAAAAAUACAGUGUAAAUGAACAUUGUUAAUUGAAACCAUGUUAGCAAGGAAAAGGUCAUAGAAAUGGAGUGUGAAUGUGAUGGUGCAUUAAUCUACCCUGUGCUACCCUGGGAAAAGUGAUGGAAAAAUUACAAUACACACACACAUAAAAUUUCAUGCCAAAAAUUGUCAAACCAUUUUAUUUAAAUGUAAUUUUUGGUGGGAUUGGUCAAUAUAAAUUUCCAUGACAACCUAUUGUAGAAUACACUAAAAGGUUUUUCUGUGGGUAAAUAAUGAUAUAAGUUGUUAUACCAGGGUACUUCAGUGUUCUUUUUAUAUCUCAUAAACUUAGCAAGAUAAGGGUGCAAUAUUUAAUAUAUUUAGUUGAUUUUUAACUUAAUCUUCAUAUAAUUCAUACCUUUCUCUAAGUUUUCAAAUUCAGGUUGUUCAUACAUUUCAUUAUUAUUUAAUUUAUGAAGAAUAUAAAUACAAUGAGUUCAUUGGAUGAAAUGCUCAAAUGAAGUACAUAAUUACAUUUACAUAUUGAUUACUUAUACAUAUUUUAUUGAUUAUGUGGGUGUGUAUAGCACAUAUAUUGCGUGUGUAUACACGUGUUUGCCCAAUAAUACUUUUCACAGUAAAAAGUCUCAGUAUUUACAAGAAUUUUUAAACAGUAUUAAUAUAUUAGAUUUAUUUCUGGAUAUGCUUAAGAGUUUACUGUAAAUGGUAAAGACAUGUCGGCAGCAAAAGAUUUGCAGGGAAAGGAAAGAGGGUAGGAGGGAAUGUAAUGUGAAAUAAAAUAGACACCAGCAAAGAUUGAAACCUGAUUUCAGUGCCAUCAAGACGAUGGCAGAUCUACGUCUGCUUCUUCCACCUAUAUUUCAAAAUAUAAUUUGGAAUAUUGCAUAAUUCAAUUGGAGAUUUUU